RNAcentral lists this unclassified non-coding RNA (447 nucleotides) under Hevea brasiliensis (rubber tree). Lineage: Eukaryota; Viridiplantae; Streptophyta; Magnoliopsida; Malpighiales; Euphorbiaceae. The record is from RNAcentral.
CUUCAUAUCCAGGAAACAACUGCAACUGUUCUGACAGCAGCACUUACUUCAAAGAAACCAGAACCAUCUGCUGGAUUUUCUGAUAUUAGCUCAUCUGAGCAAGGGAGUUCUUCAGGUACAGUUGUUCCACCACCUUUAGUGGACAAACAUGAACAAUCCUCAGAUGGUGGACCGUCGGCUACUUCUGAGACAAUAGAAGAAAUCAACAGUCAUGAACAUAUUGUUGAGGGAAAAAGUACUAAAUAUGAGGACAAAGCAUCUUCAAAAUCAACUAAUGCUGACAAGUCACUGGGUGUUGGGGCUGAGCAAUCAACUUCUCUUAGUGCAGAAACCAAGGGAUUAUCUACUCCUCUGAGGCUAGACCCGGACAGUCCUGUAGCUGAUGGCUUGUCUUCUAGCAAUGAAGAUGAGCAUCCUGACCAGGAACAACUGAAUACUGAUUAAUAA